Molecule: long non-coding RNA, 1396 nt
Organism: Xiphophorus hellerii (green swordtail)
Lineage: Eukaryota; Metazoa; Chordata; Actinopteri; Cyprinodontiformes; Poeciliidae
Exons: 3
Source: RefSeq, a predicted model, not a curated record
CACAGAGACGGAGACACAUAAACUUCCUGUUAUAGCUCGGCGUUAACAUGGAGGGCUUUUCUCCAAAACAAGAAAGCUAGUUUUGAGGAAGCGCGGCCGUCGUUUGGAGCUUCCUGGAGUCCAGCCAGGCCAGGCCUUCCAGUCUCAGGAGACUUGUUCUCUGUUCUGCAGCGUCUCAUGUACAAGCAGCUGCAGGAGCUCGGCAAUUACCUAACAAGGCUAAAAAAAAAUUUUUUUUAAAACUCCAACGAGAUCGGGAAAGCCUGGGAGAAUAUUGAGAAAGAACGAGAGUCCUUUCUCUCGGACGGCGUCAUCAUCCGUGAGGAAUGAAAUGUGACGCCGGCUGUCAGGGCUGGUUUGGGGAAAGUGGCCGCCAGUCAGCCAUGGUGCAGGCAGAGUGUGGAUGACUGAUUAGAGAGGCCGUGCUGGAAGCCAGCAGGUCACAGGGUGGAGCCUCGCGCCAGAUAAGGACUUGGCACAUUCAGGGUUUUACUCACCUUGGAAUGCUAACCGUAUCAGCUGGUUUUAUUACUAAUAUUCAUGUGUUUAUGGUUAUGUUUAGAGAUGCUGAUCAAACUUUGGAUCUUAAACAUGACCUUUUACGAAUCCCUGAAUAUGUUAGGAUACGUCUGACGGCUGCACAACCUGUUCAUCACAUUUCUUUGCACAAGAUUUUCUUAGAUAAUGAGAUUUCAGUCUGCUCAGCUCUGCCUAUUUUGAGCUGUUUUGAGGCCUCCUGUCACUUUAAGCUCCUGCUGACCAACCCCCCCCCCGCCCCCCCCAACUCAACGUUUACACUUGCACGUGAAAAUGGCUGCAAACAGAUGAGCAAUUAUACGCCCGAACAUCUUUGAAGAGCAAAAGUGGAGCCUCCUGCACAGCAACCACAAUGCAACGAGUGGUUUCUGGAUGAAAGGGUCAAGGCACAUAAAUCCUUCUGCUAACCGCAGUAAAAACGGCAAGAAAUGACGGAUGAUCCCUUCUGCCUGUUCAUCUGAAGCAAUGCAGCCUCCUGCCUGCUGCAGAAAGCGGAUUGAUUUGCUGCAGCGGACGUUGCAUGUCGCAGGGAGAUGCAACACCGGCCGGCGGCUUUCAGCACCUUGCAGGCGUGGACCAGAACAAAAGAGGCGGCAGCAGCAGCAGCGGCGGCGGCGGCACCGGAUCCCAACCGGUUCAAAGAUUUUAAAAACUCCGUGUUAGACAGAGAACAGAUUUAGAGAUGCGAACUAACAAAUCACAUCUGAUGAUGGAUCCACAUAGCUGCACAUGACGCAAAUGCAGCAACAUUACUCCACACUGCUGCUUCACAAACUUUUCCACCUCCCAGACAGCGCCGCGCUGCAAAGCGCCAAACUCCCAACAGCCACAGGUUUGUAAAAAUGUCUUCGUUCUGAUU